CCUACGGGUGGCAGCAGUGGGGGAUAUUGGACAAUGGGGGGAACCCUGAUCCAGCGACGCCGCGUGAGUGAAGAAGUAUCUCGGUAUGUAAAGCUCUAUCAGCAGGGAAGAAGAAAUGACGGUACCUGAGUAAGAAGCCCCGGCUAACUCCGUGCCAGCAGCCGCGGUCAUACGUAGGGGGCACGCGUUAUCCGGAAUUACUGGGUGUAAAGGGAGCGUAGACGGUGAUGUAAGUCUGGAGUGAAAGGCGGGGGCCCAAACCCCGGACUGCUCUGGAAACUAUGUGACUGGAGUGCAGGAGAGGUGAGCAGAAUUCCUGGUGUAGCGGUGAAAUGCGUAGAUAUUAGGAGGAACACCAGUGGCGAAGGCGGCUUACUGGACCGUAAAUGACGCUGAGGCUCGAAAGCGUGGGGAGCAAACAGGAUUAGAUACCCCUGUAGUC
Molecule: ribosomal RNA, 442 nt
Filed under: uncultured bacterium
Lineage: Bacteria
Description: partial 16S ribosomal RNA
Rfam family: Bacterial small subunit ribosomal RNA
Source: RNAcentral